This 394-nucleotide ribosomal RNA is filed under the name uncultured bacterium. RNAcentral describes it as "partial 16S ribosomal RNA". It matches the Rfam family "Bacterial small subunit ribosomal RNA", at positions 338 to 730 of the family's 1533-position model. The record is from RNAcentral.
CCUACGGGUGGCAGCAGUGAGGAAUAUUGGUCAAUGGGCGGGAGUCUGAACCAGCCAUGCCGCGUGCGGGAAGAAGGUACUGCGUAUUGUAAACCUCUUUUGUCAGGGAACAAAGGCGGGGACUAGUCCCCGGAUGAGGGUACCGGAAGAAAAAGCAUCGGCUAACUCCGUGCCAGCAGCCGCGGUAAUACGGAGGAUGCGAGCGUUAUCCGGAUUUAUUGGGUUUAAAGGGUGCGCAGGCGGCCGGUUAAGUAAGCGGUAAAAGCCCGGGGCUCAACCCCGGCGAGCCGUUGAAACUGGCGGGCUGGAGAGGGGGUGAAGUAGGCGGAAUGCGCGGUGUAGCGGUGAAAUGCUUAGAUAUCGCGCAGAACCCCGAUUGCGAAGGCAGCGUACC